RNAcentral lists this microRNA precursor (81 nucleotides) under Bombyx mori (domestic silkworm). RNAcentral's name for it is "mir-2807 microRNA precursor family". It matches the Rfam family "mir-2807 microRNA precursor family". Lineage: Eukaryota; Metazoa; Arthropoda; Insecta; Lepidoptera; Bombycidae. The record is from Rfam by way of RNAcentral.
UUAAAUCAAAUUUGUAUGGAUUUGAAACGUUUGCCUACGUUUGCCGCUAGGGGCGCUGUUUCAACAGCAUACAAAGGAGAA